CGGUACCAGAGGAAUCAGCAUCGGCUAACUCCGUGCCAGCAGCCGCGGUAAKACGGAGGAUGCAAGCGUUAUCCGGAAUGAUUGGGCGUAAAGCGUCCGCAGGUGGCAGUUCAAGUCUGCUGUCAAAGACCGGRGCUYAACUUCGGAAAGGCAGUGGAAACUGAACAGCUAGAGUAUGGUAGGGGCAGAGGGAAUUCCCGGUGUAGCGGU
Molecule: ribosomal RNA, 210 nt
Filed under: uncultured Phormidium sp.
Lineage: Bacteria; Bacillati; Cyanobacteriota; Cyanophyceae; Oscillatoriales; Oscillatoriaceae
Description: partial 16S ribosomal RNA
Rfam family: Bacterial small subunit ribosomal RNA
Source: RNAcentral